Molecule: long non-coding RNA, 756 nt
Organism: Pan paniscus (pygmy chimpanzee)
Lineage: Eukaryota; Metazoa; Chordata; Mammalia; Primates; Hominidae
Source: Ensembl
AGCCUCCCAAGUAGCUGGGACUACUGGUGUGUGUCACUGCACCCAGCUAAUUUAAUUUAAUUUAAUUUAUUUUUUUUGUACAGACACAGUCUUGCUAUUUUUCUCAGACUGGUCUGAAACUCCUGGCCUCAAAUGAUCCUUCUGCUUCUGCCUCCGAAAGUGGUGAAAUUACAGGCUGGGGCUACCAUGCCCAGCCAGAACGUGAACUUCUAACAAUUUACCAGGUGAUGCUGCUGCUGUCUGUUCCUGGACCACACUUGAGUUGUCUUUCUUUGCAUCUUCCACCCAGCAUUGCUUAAUAGAGAGUGAUCUGUCUCAGCAAGGCCCACGUCCUCUACUCUCCACCCAGGCUUUCCUCUGACCCCUCUGGUCCUUGUUCACCGUGGUCUGGCAGCUGUGGGCUUUACAGUGGGAGGAACUAUGGAGGAUCCACUACAGAAAAUGCAGAGGGCCGGAGAGAAUAUGGAAAUCCUGCACCAGGCUAGAAAGACCAGAGCUGGCAUUAGCAUGAGGCAAGGACUUCUGCACGGCCAGAAUUUCUGCAAACUAGUAAGACUCAUUAAACAAACUUUAAUUUCUGUGUGUUUUCUCCACUGUACCUUAAAAUAAAUGUAUUCUUUAUGAUCUGGAGAGAUGCCUACUCUUCUAAUUUGAAAGAAAUAUAAAUGCUGGUAGGAUAGUCUCUGGAGAAUGUUACUAUCUAUGGUCAUUAAGGGAGAAAGUAAUGAGGGAGCAGGAGAUUAACUAGUUAGUUGG